ACGCUCGACACCUACGGGGGCAGCAGUAGGGAAUCUUCCACAAUGGACGCAAGUCUGAUGGAGCAACGCCGCGUGAGUGAAGAAGGUUUUCGGAUCGUAAAGCUCUGUUGUUGGUGAAGAAGGAUAGAGGUAGUAACUGGCCUUUAUUUGACGGUAAUCAACCAGAAAGUCACGGCUAACUACGUGCCAGCAGCCGCGGUAAUCUGAGCGGGCUGGCAAGGC
This 222-nucleotide ribosomal RNA is filed under the name uncultured bacterium. Its description in RNAcentral is "partial 16S ribosomal RNA". It matches the Rfam family "Bacterial small subunit ribosomal RNA", at positions 328 to 539 of the family's 1533-position model. The record is from RNAcentral.